Molecule: ribosomal RNA, 589 nt
Filed under: uncultured bacterium
Lineage: Bacteria
Description: bacterial SSU rRNA
Rfam family: Bacterial small subunit ribosomal RNA
Source: RNAcentral
GGUAACGGCUCACCAAGACAACGAUACAUAGGGGGACUGAGAGGUUAACCCCCCACAUUGGUACUGAGACACGGACCAAACUCCUACGGGAGGCAGCAGUGAGGAAUAUUGGUCAAUGGACGCAAGUCUGAACCAGCCAUGCCGCGUGCAGGAAGACGGCUCUAUGAGUUGUAAACUGCUUUUGUACGAGGGUAAACGCAGAUACGCGUAUCUGUCUGAAAGUAUCGUACGAAUAAGGAUCGGCUAACUCCGUGCCAGCAGCCGCGGUAAUACGGAGGAUUCAAGCGUUAUCCGGAUUUAUUGGGUUUAAAGGGUGCGUAGGCGGUCGGAUAAGUUAGAGGUGAAAUCCCGGGGCUCAACUUCGGAAUUGCCUCUGAUACUGUUCGGCUAGAGAGUAGUUGCGGUAGGCGGAAUGUAUGGUGUAGCGGUGAAAUGCUUAGAGAUCAUACAGAACACCGAUUGCGAAGGCAGCUUACCAAGCUACUUCUGACGUUGAGGCACGAAAGCGUGGGGAGCAAACAGGAUUAGAUACCCUGGUAGUCCACGCAGUAAACGAUGAUAACUCGUUGUCGGCGAUACAAUGUCGGUG